UCGAUAAUCCACGAAAUCCUUACCCUCCCUAGACUAAACAGCUUGUGUACUGCCGUCGUAAGCACACCUCUAAAAGCUCAAGUAUGCAAUUAUGACAAACUCAUAUACGUCAGGUCAAAGUGCAGCUUAUGAGAGGGCGACGAUGGGUUACACCCUAUAUAAAGACACGAAAUGUGGCACCAAAAGCCACAUGAAGGUGGACUUGGACGUAAUAAAGAUACAAAAUCAAAAUGAAGAUGAAUCUGAGACAUGCACACAUCGCCCGUCACUCUUGCCCAAAGGUGAGAUAAGUCGUAACAAAGUAGGUGUAACGGAAGUUGCACCUGU
Molecule: ribosomal RNA, 327 nt
Filed under: Aporrectodea trapezoides
Lineage: Eukaryota; Metazoa; Annelida; Clitellata; Crassiclitellata; Lumbricidae
Description: partial 12S ribosomal RNA
Rfam family: Bacterial small subunit ribosomal RNA
Source: RNAcentral